UACGAAGGGGCUAGCGUUGUUCGGAUUUACUGGGCGUAAAGCGCACGUAGGCGGAUCGUUAAGUCGGGGGUGAAAUCCUGGAGCUCAACUCCAGAACUGCCUUCGAUACUGGCGAUCUAGAGUCCGGAAGAGGUGAGUGGAAUUCCUAGUGUAGAGGUGGAAUUCGUAGAUAUUCGGAAGAACACCAGUGGCGAAGGCGACUUACUGGACACAUAUUGACGCUGAGGUGCGAAAGCGUGGGGAGCAAACAGG
This 252-nucleotide ribosomal RNA is filed under the name uncultured bacterium. RNAcentral describes it as "partial 16S ribosomal RNA". It matches the Rfam family "Bacterial small subunit ribosomal RNA", at positions 524 to 776 of the family's 1533-position model. The record is from RNAcentral.